GUUGAUCUCAGAGGCCAUGGUUUCUAGUGUUUUUCAUAAACUCACAGCACUCGCACUUGAAUCAACCGAACACUGCCACUUCCGAGAACGCUGUGUGCAGGUAUAUUGCCACAACGAGUGCCAAGCGGUUGAUGUUUAGCCAUGAAAACUAGAUCUCCUCACAGCGCGUCUAUUGUUUCUUAACUUUACUGAAAUAAACACAAGCGGACGGAAUCCAAGCGUUGCUUUGCUUUUUACGUUCGUUGUCUAUACAAAAUUGUCGUUACGAAAAUGCAAACUGACAAGUUGGGUGAUCAUCUGUCAAACGGUUGCUACGCUUGUUCGAAAUUCGAAAAUCAUUUUCUUUUGGGUUUGGAAAACAACGAAUAAAGGCAAGACUCUUUGUGGAA
Molecule: long non-coding RNA, 389 nt
Organism: Anopheles funestus (African malaria mosquito)
Lineage: Eukaryota; Metazoa; Arthropoda; Insecta; Diptera; Culicidae
Exons: 2
Source: RefSeq, a predicted model, not a curated record